CUGUUUGAACUUGAUUUUUGUCUAUGAAUUUAAUGUAAAUUUAUAGUAGAGAUGUCAAUCUAUGUUUUGUGAUGUAAAAUAUUAAUAUUGAUCAUGUAUUCUGUGCGCCAGGGUCCUGUGUGAAAAGUCCUGAUUUGACCUCUACCCCUGACCCGGAUGUAUAUAAUCCACGUUGGUGACACAUUUUGACAGCUAACUCCAGAAAAUGCUGAACAUGCUAUGUUGAAACUUUUAUAUUUUGCUUCUCACAUGUUGGUCUUGGCCAGGUGAGUUGGAAAAUUGGAUAUGAGAUUUUGGGAAUUUACUAUGAAUUUUAAUGUUACAAUGAAACAUAUAGCGAAGCUAAUUGUGGUCUCGGUCCUAACCUAGAACAAAAUCACGUUAUAUAUACAGUAUAUAUAUUGGCGACAUUUAAUUUCCCCACUCACGGAAUACAAUCGACAAACUGGGAACAGAAUAUCAAAUUUCGUCUAGCUUUUGGCGACUUAUGAUACCCCUUUCACCGGCAAACACUGAAUUAUCGGACAACAUGAAAUCAGGGACUAAAUUCACCAGCAUUCAUGAUCCUCGGACCACCCGCCCCCUACGCACAGCCGAUUUAUAAAUGUUGCAUCUUUCAAUCAGUGUCAAUCCCAAGAAGAACCCUGAUCAGCUCCUGGAAAAAUCAGUGUUCUUGCAGUAUUGUCAGUCAAAUCUCAAGGAAAGGAUCCCAGAAGAGGAACAUUUACAUUAUUUCAGACUUUUUUCUUUCCUGUGUAACAAUGCCUCAAACAGCUAACACAUUUUAUAUAGUAUACAAUACAAUGUGUAUUAAUAACAGUCCAGUUAGAGUGCUGUGUUAUGCAGUAAAAAUACUUAAUUCUU
Pecten maximus is the source of this 864-nucleotide long non-coding RNA. RefSeq lists it as uncharacterized. The transcript has 3 exons. The record is from RefSeq and is a predicted model, not a curated record. Lineage: Eukaryota; Metazoa; Mollusca; Bivalvia; Pectinida; Pectinidae.